This 8968-nucleotide long non-coding RNA is filed under the name Ananas comosus (pineapple). Its description in RNAcentral is "long non-coding RNA (ACOM_LNC011460)". The record is from RNAcentral. Lineage: Eukaryota; Viridiplantae; Streptophyta; Magnoliopsida; Poales; Bromeliaceae.
CCAUCGAUAUGCAAAUAUCGUGUUGCCCCACAGGCCCACACACACCCAUCAACAAGCAGGAACGGGUUGUCUCUCAACAGAAAAAGAGAGAGCAAAAAGGUGAGGUUGCUGCACAUGGAUUGCUCCUGUCAUGCAGAGCACAAGUGCGUCUUUAGUUACCAUUGUUGUACCGCCAAAAUUUGGCACCAAAGCACAGUCACAUGCUCUCCGACCUGACUACCCAACUAUAGUAUCUUGCGGUGUACAUAUUUCCCCAAAGUUCUCUCGCAUGGCGCGUUGUGUGAUAUUACACAUCGGAAAAGAACAGUAAAUAAAAGAGAGCAACUACAAUGUGCAGAAACGGUCCGCCAAAUCAGCAGAAGUCCUACAAAAGUGUCCUAGUUGUCGAAAGUUUGGAGCAAUCAGCUCAACCUGGCAUGGAGGGAAAUUGGCGGACGAAAUAAACAAACAAAUAUUAGGUAUAAGCCCAUGAUUAAAAAAUUUAAACAAUCUAGGCGAGAGAGCAACAUCAGAAGAUAUAUGUGGAGACUGAUCAUAAGUUGUUGAUGAGCAAUAAUUCUCGACUAAACCAGGAUGAAGAACCAACAGGAAUCGAAAGCGUGGUAUUUGACAAGCUUCAUCACAUGAACCAUCAUUGAAUCAAGUCACCCGGACGAGACGUCACAUGCGUCCAAUGUGGGGAGAACACGAGAAGCAAACAGAUGCAAAAAUGGACCACAAUCCAAUCAUCAGAAAAUAUCUAAGAGUCUAUAAAUGCGCUUGGUUCAAAAAGCUAUCAAGCACUGAACGCAAGGUACCCAGUUGAAAACAAAGCCAUAUGAUGGUCAGCAUUUGUGAAAUCUACUCUCUGUAUGCAAUAUAUAUGAGAAGAAUACAAAUGAAGGGAAAUUAACGGAGCUACUCAUGAUUUGUCAUAUCGAUUACCAGCCCAUAUUGGACAACACAUACCAGACAAAAAUCACAUGACCCUUACGAAACUACCAGAAAUCAGUUACAUCUCAAAGUGUGGACAGCCCAUAUUCCUUCAACUAACGCAUAUAAGUGGUUAGGACCUAACAUAAGAGAAUAGAAGCAAUGAUAUGCAAAGACACAUAAAAUGAGAAUGAAACCAAAGGAGUUAUAUGCGAAAUGAUUCUGAAGCAUCAUUUUCUUGCUAGUGAUGGGAGCAUGCAUAUUAUGAUAAGCAUUCACUUAAAAGUGAACAAAAUAAGGAAAAGACAUCCUAGAGUACAAAGUACUGGUGCAAAAAAGUAAACAAAAAAGAUUCAUAAGUUACAGCUGUUGGUAUUUUAUUUAUAAACUUCAGUUUGGCUUAUGGGCCUCCUGGGUUGCCCAAUUUCAAUUGGGCCUUACCUGAAAGCUUGUAAAUCACUUACUACAUGUGAGUUUUAUCCUACAUUAAAAACUCACGACAUGUAAUAGUACCUCAUAUACUCCAUCAUCUACUAGUUGUUGCUUAGGUAAUAAUGAGGGUAGUGUCAUCCACUAAACACACGCACGUGCUCACGGCACGAGCCGGACCGGACCGGACCACGUGCAGUGUUGGCUUGUUGGUCUCGGUUCACCUGCACUUUCACUUGGUUCUAUUUUAUCUUUUUCACUGAGCCUUACUACUCUUCUUUAUCUUCUUCUUUACUAGAUCUCUGAUAUGUCUUUUGGUUCACACUGCAUUAUCUUGGAGACAUGCCAACGGAUAGCUCGUGAUCAUUUUAUCGUUAGAAAUAAUUAUGGAGGAACAAUCUUACUUCUACGACAGUGCCUGACACACCCCGACUCAUAAGCCUCAUCUGAAAUUUUUAUCUCUAUAAUAUUUUGUUAUUGGUUCUUGCAUUUGUUUUUAAAAGAGUUGUUUAAAGCUUGCGAUUCAAAAUAUUUUAAAAGAAAUAUUUCUACAAAAAUAAUACACAGAUUUUCCAACAACGGAAAGUAAGAAAAGCAUAAGCAGCCCAUUGUUUUGAAUCUUAAACCAGCACAAAGAUUUAAGGAGUCCUAAAAUUCAUCUAACCUAUUGAAGUGGUAGAAUAAUAUAGCAUAUUGCACAUGAAACCAUCAAAAGCGAGCAAAUAGAAUUCGAAUCACGAUAUCAGUCUUAGGUUAAUAAAAACUACAGAUGAGGUUAUAAAACUACUCCAGGAUAAACUAAGGAACAUGAGUCGCAAAAUAAAUGGUGUGUGAUACAUGUGCCCUCCUAUGCCGUUGGCACUGUAAGUUCAGAUACAUAAAUGAGACUAAUCAAACAAAUACAUGAAUGCUGGGUCUCCAAAAUCUGACGUAUCGACUUCUCGGUUGCUUGUGUUCCUGUUUUGCUUUCCCAUUUGUGCCCUUUUGUGGUUUCGGGUCAUCCUCUCUCUCUCUCCAAUCUCUUUCCGAAGCAGAUGUCUCUCUCCCUGCGCUUUGAGCUGCAAGCGCGAUCUCUGUUGGUGGCCACGGCGCGAUCUUCGCCGACGGCCAAAUCCACCAAGGAUCUCCCAACUAAUAGCUGAGAGAUGACGUGCUAGCUACUCCGUUGCCGCGGUUCCUACUUUACGAUUUUUUUCCCUUUUCGUUUGAAGGGCUUUCCCAUUUUUCUUUUGCACCCUUUCAGUGGUUCGAGUCUGCCAGUUGCACUCUCUUUCUCCAAUCUAGCACACUCACUCCCAACAUACAAAUCUACUGAGGAUCUCCCAGUUAUUAAAGACUGAGAUGACUAAGAUAGUUGAAACCGAAUGUGGUAUCUCCUUGGUCGCCGAUUACUCUGGGAAACUAUGAUAAUGGCCUCGCCCACUAUUAUUAACACUUAUUAAUAUCUAUAUUAACCUACAUGUUUCUGCUAAGGGUCUAUGUUAAGCAAACUCCAUAAAUUCUUAUCUCUUUUCAAGAUCCCCUCCAUGGGUUCCUUCUUUGGAACACAAGAAGGUUUGCCUCUUUGAUACUUAUAUCUGUAAUUUCUGCAGAGAUUAUUGAUUAUACAUACAUAAUUUGUUUAGUUUUGACACAGUUCUCCUAAUUUCCUUCUCUAGUAGGUUGAGACUCUGAUCGUCCUCUUUUCUUCUUCCCUGGGACACAAGAAGGUUUGCCUCUUUGAUGCUUACACCUGUGAUUUCUGCAUUAAUUAUUGAUUAUAUGAUUUAGUUCUGACAAAGUUAUCCCCAUGUUUUUCUCUGAUUGAGACAGUCAUCAUCCUCUUUUCUUCUCCGUGGUGCUUUUUUUGCAUGUUAUGCUGCUACUUUGUUGGCAAACUUGCUUAGUAAGGUGUUAGAACUUUAUCUAUUUUGCAUAUGAUCUGACUGUGCUCUUUUCUUGCUGAUUUCUACAUGUUUUGGGCCAUGCUUAAGUUUGUUUUUUUCUUUAUUAUUGGGUUAUCAUGGCGUAGCAAUAUGACCGGCCUCACGGCAAUCAUUACAGCCAUUAAACAAUACCAAAAAAUUAUUUCAUUUUUCAGACAUUUUUUAAUUUUUCUUUCAUCAUCCUCCUUUCUUCCUUGGAACACGAGAAGAUUUUCCUCUUUGAUGCUUAAACCUGUAAUUUCUGAAUAGAUUAUUAUUUAUAUAUAUGUGAUUUAGCUUUAACAAAGUUCUCCCAAUUUCUUAAGCAAUUCCCCAACAUUCUCUUGCUUUUUUCCCACUUUUUCCUAUAGAAAAACAAGAGUAAAACAAAACAAAGCAAGGCAAUUGUUACUUCAAUUACCUUUUCCUUUUUUUACUUUCUCCUACAGUCGUAUGUAUUUUUCUUGAUUCUCAAUUCUUGAUAUUUUGUAUAUAACUGCCGGAGAGAUUGUAUAUAUAAAAUUGUGUCCACAUACUUUAAAAUCCACCACUAAACAUUGGCAUCAAAACUGUUGGCAGCGAAGCACAGGUACACUCGCAUAUUCAAAUUGACCAUUCUUAAGAAUGAAAGCCAACCAAAAAAUUUUUUUUUAAAAAAUCCAAAUGUGUCACUGAGAGAAGUUGUAUUUAAAGGCUCACAUCUGCUGGAUCAUUGAGAACUCAUAACAGCAACGGCAGUAGAAGCAAAAACAACAAUGUCAUUAGACCCACCUACUACGAGUUGCCUAUAUAGAUCUAUUCCUCCAUUCAACUCUGAUUCCAGCAAAAUUCUUACAUCAAGUGGUCCCAUCCUCAUUUUCAACUUCCCAUUACUUUCUACAACAUCAGUUUUCAUCUUCUGCUAACACUCUGAUAUAAAAUAAUUGCCGACUGCAUCUUAGUCUUAGGCCUACUUGUAGUUAAGAACUUUCAUAUUCUAAAUCUUCUUCAAGUUCUCAACUAUUAGAUACAUGCUAAACUGUAUUUGAUUCAUCAAUAACAUGACACAAUCAGGAAAAAUGUAUACCAAUUAACCUCAUGUAAAAUACUAUUAACCACAGAAGAAAACUGAGGACACAAUUAUGAAACUUGAUGAAAUCCCAUUGUUAUAAUAAAUUUGCUGGAUUCAAUCCUCACACUACUGCUGCAAGUCCCCCAUAAAGUUGCAUUUACAUGUUGUUGAUAUCUUGGCAUCCAUAAUGUUAAGGAGUUUAAUUGGUUAACACACCCACUCCAAAAAUACCUCAUGGAUUUGCCAAUACAUCCACACACUAUAAGGGCGAUAUUGUGGGGAACCCAAAGCAUUUCUAUGUGUUUUCUAGAGUAAUCAGUUAUUAUCACAAUUCUUUCAGAUUUGCACACCUAUUCCUCUCGCAGGUGACAUCGCCUGCAUUAUUUUACUUCUCCAAUUGACGCUAUCACGCCUCUUUAAAAUACACAUCAUAUUAUGCAAAAGGAAUUUGUUAACGUAGACUCUUUUUGUUAUAUAAAGCCAUGUCAAUAUUUUCAGCAAACUUAAGAAGCCAGCAGAAGGGCCACUAAUUAAGUAGGCCUCAAAGCAUAUUACAUGCCCAGAAUGAUGGUUCACAUUAAGCAUUAUAGAAUGAUGGUCUGUAUUAAACAUUAUGAAACAGUUUAGCUCUAAACUUCCAAUAAGAUCAUAAGCUCCUCUCUAUUCAGUAAGACCAUUCCAUGUCAUCAUUGUCAUGAUUAUAGGAUAAAUUAUCUUUUCAUGGUUUGUUCUUUCUUGUUACAUAAUAGUGCUGAUAUUUUUCACUACAAACAAUUUAUAGGACUAAUCCCCUUUAGUUCCUAGAAUUUGAUCGACAAACAAACUUGAACGGGACAUAAAAAGUUGCACAAAUUUGUACGCUAGGGAGGCAAGGAAAGCUCCUCUAGCCAUUUAAAUGAACACGAGCGAUGUGGUGGGGUUAGCAUGAUUUUGAUGCACACUUUUGCUAAGGGAAAAUUUACAUCAUUACUUGCUAAAAAAUUCUACUCAAUCCCUCCUAAAAAACUUUGGCAUUUUAAUCACAACUAGUGAAUAGGGUAAAUCCCCUAUUCUCCUUCGAAUAUCUAUUAUACCCUAUUCUCUAACAAAGUGUCCUCUAUGAAGGAGAGAGUACCUUGUCAUUUAAAUGACAGGAUUUGAGGGCAUCAGGAGUAAAAACCAAGUUUCCAUUUCAAAGGUACUGUUUGGAUACAUAAAAUAUAUAAGGAUAGUUUAAUUCUUACAAGGUAUUAUUGUAAAGAAAGUGUAGCAAUAGAGAAAUAGUGGAAUGUAUUGAUAAACCACAAUAUUUUGAGCAACAAUUUAGAUAGCCUAAGUCACCCUUUAAGUGGAAUAUAUGAUCCAGAGUAUCAGGAUAUCUUGCAAUUUCUGCCCAGAACUUUAUCAACAUGUUGGAACUUCUUUAUCUACCAUAGAUCACAUCAAACGCCUCUGCAUACCCAAUGUCCAUUCAUUGGAUAACAUAUCUCUGCAUCUAAACAAUCCCUAGAAGACUUCGCACAUAAAAGCGCCCUCCCAAAAAAGUAAAUGAACUUCAUGAAACCUAACAAACAUAAGCCCCGACCAGCAAAGAAUGCACAUGAAAUCCAGCUAAUCGGUUUAUUCAUACAAAAAAGGACUGCUCAAAGGAUUAGAAAGGCAUGGAAGAUUCCAACAACAGUAAAUAAAGCAACUAAACUUUCAAAAAAGGUGAAUAACAAAGUAUGAAAAAUAUCUUUAAAUAAAUUCUACAGUAUUAAACAACUUUUGGAAAAUGUUAUGCACUUCAUUACAUUAUCCUCAGUAAUAUUUACUUUGGACAGCAAGAUUCAAAGCGGAAAAAAAAAGAGAGAAAAAACAGAUGAAACGAGUAAAUCAAAAGGUAGAGAAAAAAAAAGCCCCUAGCUGUUGCUUAGAACCAACGAGGGAACUUGUAUAUGAUUCACAUGGCAUAAGAAAGAAAAAGAGGAUAAUGCAUUUUCUCUUUUAAGACCCAACUAGAGAAAUCCUAGUUGAUAGGUAUCAGGCUAUAUUACAGGAGUUAGCAAGAGGAUCCCACUUAUUGUGAGAUCCUGCAGUCAAUUACUAAAUUGGCAUAGAAUAAGGAAUGAUUUCAUUCCUUAAUCUACUGUGCAAAGGAGAAAGCUAAUCAUAGAUAUGACUAUAUACCUGUCAGCCAAGAUUUUGGAUAGUUCGUCAGUUGCUUAUUACAUACAAUGAUACAAAACAUAUCUUCACAUGUUAGUUCUUUUCCUUAUCCUUGCUUUAAUAUUUGGAUUUAGUAACAGGCAAACCAAGUAGAGUACUCACAACUAGAACUGCUAGGCUUUUAUUCCAUGAAACUAAACAGAUGCUGGACAGUCGGUCCUUGUAAAUCAGACACCAACUUCAGCAUUAUAAAUGUACCUUCGAAUCUCAAAACUUUGAGAGCUACUCUGAUUAAUAUGUGCGACAGAUUAGUUAUAGUGAAGAUCGGUCCAGCCACCUUCUAAAGCUCACGAUCUUAAGAUGAAAUAUCAAUAUUUUGUCAAAUCAGGCAGCAGGAUCAGACUGGAAAAAAAAAAGGCUCAAUUUUCCUGUGGAAUGGACGAUCUCAAAAUGACAAUUCAAACAAGAAGAUCAUUAGAUUGAUGAAAUAAAGGUCUAUUAAGAAAUGGUAGAGUCCUUCAUUAACUCUUAUUGACCAGCUUAACUACAAAGAUAGAAAGAGGUCCAAGAAAAUAUCCAUUGAAGAAUUGAAAGGCCACUAAACAUCAACUGAAAAAGAAAGUGAAAUCAUUUCUCAGGCAUUGGAUGGCACCAAUAUCACGUUUUAGUUAAUCUCUGAUCUUACGCAAAAUGAAGCCGCUUACAUAACACACCACCAAAGUGGUGUUGGCUUAAAUGGGUCAGCAUGCUGCCCUGUGGCGGGAGGUCAUGUUGGGCCAAGUCAUAUUCGAGGUGGCGUGAGGCUGAUUGGGCCUAAUCACAAUCGAGACCCGUGGGCGCUGUAUUUGUACGCUUUAAAUGAAUUGGUUGCGUAUUUCUACCGGCUCAAGCUUUUGGGAUUAAUGGUUUGCGCCAACGAUCCGACAAGUGGUAUCAGAGCCAGAGGACACGGGUUUGAUUCCCGCAUGCUGCAAAUGUGAGUAGUUGCUGGAGGAGGGAUUGUUGGCUUAAAUGGGCCAGCAUCCUGCCCUGUGGCGAUAGGCCAUGUUGGGCCAGGUCAUAUUCGAGAUGGCGUGAGGCUGGUUGGGCCGAAUCACAAUCGAGACCCGUGGGCAUUGUAUCUGUACGCUUUAAGUGAAUUGGUUGCGUAUUUCUAACAGCUCGAGCUUUUGAGAUUAAUGGAUAGCGCCAACGAUCCAAUAGGUGGCAUAAAAGAGCAGCAAUAAUAUAGUGGUAGAUAGGAAUUGUAACACGAAAAAAUAAGCUUUGUAUGAUAUUGAAGGGUCUCUUCAAAAAUCAGGUCUAUACAAUAAUCAUGAAAACCUGCUCUGAACUCGCAAAAACUGGAAUAAACAGAGCAUUAGCAAUUGGACCUACCAACCAUUGCUCAUGAUUGUUAAGGCCAGUAUAAACACUCUCCUAAGAAAGACUAUUGUCUCUCGCUGACUAAAGAAUAAAAAAUGCUAUAUGUACACCCUAUAUAUUAGGCGUAAAUCUUCCACCCACCCAUCCAAGGGUAUAAAAACUACAUUUGGAUUGGAUUUUCAAUAUAUAUAUAUAUAUAUAUAUAUAUAAAGGUUGAUAAGGCUGGCAGAACUACAUUGGGUUUUGGAUCAAUAGGGUGUAAAAUUUACACCCUAUUUACAGGUGUACAAGUACAUAAAUAAUACAUUGGUUUGUUGCACAAUUCCUAAAAUCUGAAGCAAUACAGUUUUUCUAUUAAAAGAACAAUGUCACGGAAAAAUAUCAGAAAGAACAAAGAAUCCAUGAAUAUUAACGACAAGGAAAAAACAAGAAAGGAAUAAGCAGAAAAUAGCUACUAAUUUAUAAUUACUUUCUGCUCCCAUGUUUCAUUCAUUCCGAUUGAUCAGUAAAAACUACAAAGGCAAUAGGUUCCUAAUAUCUUGUCACUUUAAAUAGAAGCCUUCCUGUGAUCAGAAUAACGAGCAUCUGGAAUUAAAACGUAAAAUGACUUGUAUAAACCCCACUAGGUCUUAAUCCACCAGAUAGUGUGAAAUGCCAGAUAGCUCAUCUAAAAUCUAACAAAUCCGUCGCACGGAUAACUAAACCCAGCAAUCGAUUGCUCUUACCUGCCAAAGGAUUCUCCAAACCCCCCACAACAUCGUCUGAUCCUAGGAAUACGAAAUAAAAUGCUAACUAUAAAGGAACGACACCACUGUCGUCAUCGUCGUCACCAUCACAAUCAAAGGCAUACAUCGCAUCAACAAUCGCAAGCUUCUCAUAAGGAAGAAACAACUAAAACAUCAUCAUCGAUGCAUCAAUAAGCAGAUAAUAUCAUCGUACAAAAAGAGGAAAAUAAUUCGCAUCAAGAGAAUCGAAGCAUCCAGGUUAAAAAAACAAAAACAAACGAAGCAUCCAAGAACAGAGAGGAGAGAAAGGAAACCCUAACCUCAACCUGAUGCUGGGAGCGUCGAUUUGCAGAGGAGGAUCUCGAAAAGAAGUACGAAAACGGAGAAAAAUUGAGGAGAAAAUAAUCGUUUUAUAGCGUCGUCGAAGAGAGUGGGAAACGCCGGUUCUUUUUUUC